This is a long non-coding RNA of Vanessa atalanta (red admiral), 1321 nucleotides long. RefSeq lists it as uncharacterized. The transcript is spliced from 3 exons. NCBI's taxonomy places the organism in Eukaryota, Metazoa, Arthropoda, Insecta, Lepidoptera, Nymphalidae. The record is from RefSeq and is a predicted model, not a curated record.
UAUGCGUAUACCUAUCGUUUCGACCGUAAAAUUAUUGAUCAAAAUUAAAAUAAAAAUAUAUUGUAAUUUUUUGUUUGUAUUAUAACUUGUAAUUGUUAUAAUAAAUAAAAAUUGGGACUGUCUGACAAUAAAUUACCUUUUAGGAACAUGUAAUAAACAUUAGAUACCAUUAAGAAAAGAUUCCAUAAGACAUAUUUUUAUGACAAGACUGAGUGGUGAAUAAUUUGAGUGAUUAAAAAAUUUAUGAAAUAGUAUGAAUAUUUACAGUUUGUUUUAAUUAUUUAUUUAUAUUUUACACAAUGGCUGAAAAUAAAAAAUAUAUUCUUAGAAAACAUAUUGAAGACAAGGAACUUAAGAAGUAAAAAUUCGAAAAGAAAAUGAUGUGGAAAAGAAAUGCUGGUAUCGCUGAAAUUCACAUAGUUUCCUAUCACUAGAUGAUAUGUUAAUAGAACAAUAACAAUAUUUAUACAAAGUUCACUGUAUAUUUUUUCUAAUGAAUAAAAAGAAGCAAAGCUAUACACAAAACAAGUCUAUUAUUGUAGGAUACCUCAACAUAUGUCCAGCAACCUGGGAAUGAACAAUCAAACCUAAAGUUAUAAUUAUUAUUAUAAUGGCUUUCAAGUGUUCUGAUACAGUACAUUUUUUUAAUGUAACCAGCAAUCUAGAAGAUAUGAAGGAUAUUGAUCAGUAUGAUAUAGGUUACAGGCUAAAUUUAAUUUUGAAGGCAUAAAAGAGUAAACCCACAACCUAAAACAAAACAAACAAAUAAUAAGUGAAAAUCACAAUCACAAAAAUAUUUACACAAUUUUAUUAUGCUGAAAUGCAUGUAAAGUGGGUUAAAUAUAAAAAUAAAUAAAUUUUAAUGGGACUAGAUAAUUUAAUAGGGAGGAUUGGGCUAAUAGGAUGGAAGAGUUUGGGACAAGAAAACAAUAUGGGAUAUGGAAUGUAUGGCCUAUGAAGAGAAAACAAAGGACUCUUUACAAUGUUUGUUUCCUGAGAUGAAUAAAAUUAAGCUUUAGAUGAAACUUUCUAAAUAGAAGUCCAUGAGUGAUACUAUUGUUAGAGUUCAAUUCACAGUGUCGUGACCAACUCUUUUUCUCAAUCGCUAUUUUCUAGUUUAAAAUUCUUGAGUUCUAUUACUACCCACAUGCUGUGAACACACACACAGCAGUUUUAAUUAUGAAAAUAUUCAUAGUGUAAAGGCUUCGCAUUUGUACUCGACUCCAUCACAUGCACCUUUCUUUCGCGUAAAAUUCUGGUGACGGUGCGUUCAGACACUCCAACAGCCUGUGCGGUCCUCCAGCGUGCAUCAGUUAUUUUU